RNAcentral lists this unclassified non-coding RNA (209 nucleotides) under Hevea brasiliensis (rubber tree). The record is from RNAcentral. Lineage: Eukaryota; Viridiplantae; Streptophyta; Magnoliopsida; Malpighiales; Euphorbiaceae.
GGCAUCUAGGCUUUUAUGCAUGCAACUUCCUACACACAAAGGUUAGUUUCAUCUGGGCUGUAACAGUUAAAUGUUCAAGUACAUGGCAAUAAAUGGUUUUUGUGUCAAGCCCGCGAGAAAGAACAGCAAUGGUGAUAGAUGUACCGAACUGUUGAGUCAAUAUCAGAACGUAAUGCAGCCAUCAGAGUAGGAAGGUGAGAAAGAAUCCA